GGCGAGCGCGGGGCGGUGCGGGCGGGGGCCAGAGCCGAGCCGCAGCCCGAGCCGGAGCCGCAGCCGGAGCCGGAGCCUGGCUGUCCGGGCGGCCGCUGGAGCUCGCAGCGCGCCGGGGCUGGGACCGGCCUGGCCGAGCGCGCCGGCGCCGCGACCGCAGACAAAGGCGCCGCUCGCGCCCGGGCCGCCGCGCUCUCGGGCUCUGCUUUGGGGGAGUGCUGCACGCAGCAGGAGGGGCGGCUGGGCAGUGCAGAGCCUGGAAUCCCCUGAGCAAGCAGUGUUUCAGCUGGCUGGACAGAUCAAAUAACACUUGGGCUGGUUAACAAAGGACACGCAAGUGGGAAGGUGUUGGAAGCUGGAGUGUGGAAAUUUACCCAACGUUAUUCCUUUGACAGGAAAGGAGACAUGGUCUGAAAGAUGCCGCAUUCCUGCAGCCUCUCUGAGUCCAGCAGCACACAGUCUUGGGGAAGGUGGCGUGGAGGAGGGGGUGACAGAGGACGCUGCCCCAUCUGAAGCCUCUGGAGGAUCCUGGCUUGGCAGCUGAGUGCCCCUCAGCGCUGGGACUUGAGGUGUAACUUGGUGUAGAGCUCAAGAAAGGUGGUUGGGUUUCUCUGGCUUUCUUCACCAGUGCUCACCAGCCUGGUUUGGGUUGCAGAAUCUAAGGGGAGCUGGUAGAA
RNAcentral lists this long non-coding RNA (677 nucleotides) under Zalophus californianus (California sea lion). RNAcentral's name for it is "lncRNA (ENSZCAG00015024633.1)". Lineage: Eukaryota; Metazoa; Chordata; Mammalia; Carnivora; Otariidae. The record is from RNAcentral.